UGGGGAAUUUUGGACAAUGGGCGAAACCCUGAUCCAGCCAUGCCGCGUGCGUGAAGAAGGCCUUAGGGUUGUAAAGCGCUUUCGGCGGGGAAGAUGAUGACGGUACCCGCAGAAGAAGCCCCGGCUAACUCCGUGCCAGCAGCCGCGGUAAUACGGAGGGGGCUAGCGUUGUUCGGAAUUACUGGGCGUAAAGGGCGCGUAGGCGGUCUUGUCGGUCAGAUGUGAAAGCCCGGGGCUCAACCCUGGAAGUGCAUUUGAAACAGCAAGACUUGAGUACGGGAGAGGAAAGCGGAAUUCCUGGUGUAGAGGUGAAAUUCGUAGAUAUCAGGAGGAACACCGAUGGCGAAGGCAGCUUUCUGGACCGAUACUGACGCUGAGGCGCGAAGGUGUGGGUAGCGAACGGGAUUAGAUACCCCGGUAGUCCACACAGUAAACGAUGUUCACUAGGUGUAUCGGGUAUUAAAAUCUGAUGUGCCCAAGCUAACGCAUUAAGUGAACCGCCUGGGGAGUACGGUCGCAAGACUA
RNAcentral lists this ribosomal RNA (525 nucleotides) under uncultured bacterium. Its description in RNAcentral is "bacterial SSU rRNA". It matches the Rfam family "Bacterial small subunit ribosomal RNA", at positions 355 to 896 of the family's 1533-position model. The record is from RNAcentral.